Hyla sarda is the source of this 197-nucleotide small nuclear RNA. RefSeq annotates it as U2 spliceosomal RNA. The record is from RefSeq and is a predicted model, not a curated record. NCBI's taxonomy places the organism in Eukaryota, Metazoa, Chordata, Amphibia, Anura, Hylidae. The transcript has a single exon.
CUUGCUUCUCGGCCUUUUGUCUAAGAUCAUGUGUAGUAUCUGUUCUUAUCAGUGGUUUAGGAUUUGGCCAUUGAUGUGGGAUGGAUGCUGGAUGGAGGGAGCAGGUGUUUCGGGGCUGGUUGUGAUGAAUCAGCUUGACGGCUGUCCUGAUGUAACCGGUUUCCUCCGGGUCUCGCCAUGAGGUGCCAAAACUCACU